RNAcentral lists this ribosomal RNA (567 nucleotides) under Ulva sp. 1GWS. RNAcentral's name for it is "eukaryotic LSU rRNA". It matches the Rfam family "Eukaryotic large subunit ribosomal RNA", at positions 364 to 1006 of the family's 3401-position model. The record is from RNAcentral. Lineage: Eukaryota; Viridiplantae; Chlorophyta; Ulvophyceae; Ulvales; Ulvaceae.
AUGAAAAGAACUUUGAAAAGAGAGUCAAAAAGUGCUUGAAAUUGUUGAGGGGGAAGCCAUUGGCUGGUCAAGAUGCGCCCGGGCUCGAAGCUGGCUUAACGGCCUGUGUCACGCGCCGGGCGCCUGUCAGCCUGGGUUCGGCGUGCGGGAGAAACCCGCCUCUGUCGGUGGUCUAUGCCGCGCGCCGGACUCACGCUGGCUUAAGGCCGUCAAUGGGCCCGUCUUGAAACACGGACCAAGGAGUCUAACAUGUACGCGAGUUGGCGGGUGGAAAACCCGUAAGCGCAAGGAAACUGACUGGUGGGAGGGCCUGUGCCUGCACCAUCGACCGACCAUGAUCUUCUGUGAAAGGUUCGAGUACGAGCGUACCUGUUGGGACCCGAAAGAUGGUGAACUAUGCCUGAGCAGGGCGAAGCCAGAGGAAACUCUGGUGGAGGCUCGUAGAUGUGCUGACGUGCAAAUCGCUUUUCGGACUUGGGUAUAGGGGCGAAAGACUAAUCGAACCAUCUAGUAGCUGGUUCCCUCCGAAGUUUCCCCCAGGAUAGCUGGAGCUCAUCAGUUUUAUCA